The sequence is a ribosomal RNA, 434 nucleotides long. It matches the Rfam family "Bacterial small subunit ribosomal RNA", at positions 341 to 792 of the family's 1533-position model.
ACGGAAGGCAGCAGUGGGGAAUAUUGGGUAAUGGGCGCAAGCCUGACCCAGCAAUGCCGCGUGAAGGAAGAAGGCUUUCGGGUUGUAAACUUCUUUUAAGUGGGACGACAAUGACGGUACCACUUGAAUAAGCUCCGGCUAACUACGUGCCAGCAGCCGCGGUAAUACGUAGGGAGCAAGCGUUAUCUGGAUUUACUGGGUGUAAAGGGCGUGUAGGCGGGACAUCAAGUCAGAUGUGAAAGCACGAGGCUCAACUUCGUGUCUGCAUUUGAAACUGACGUUCUUGAGUGUUGGAGAGGCUAACGGAACUCCUAGUGUAGCGGUGAAAUGCGUAGAUAUUAGGAAGAACACCAGUGGCGAAGGCGGUUAGCUGGACAAUAACUGACGCUGAGGUGCGAAGGUGCGGGGAGCGAACAGGAUUAGAUACCCUGGUA